AGUGAACGCUGGCGGUAGGCCCAACACAUGCAAGUCGAACGGCAGCACAGUAAGAGCUUGCUCUUACGGGUGGCGAGUGGCGGACGGGUGAGGAAUACAUCAGAAUCUACUUUUUCGUGGGGGAUAACGUAGGGAAACUUACGCUAAUACCGCAUACGACCUACGGGUGAAAGCAGGGGAUCUUCGGACCUUGCGCGUUUGAAUGAGCCGAUGUCGGAUUAGCUAGUUGGCAGGGUAAAGGCCCACCAAGGCGACGAUCCGUAGCUGGUCUGAGAGGAUGAUCGGCCACACUGGAACUGAGACACGGUCCAGACUCCUACGGGAGGCAGCAGUGGGGAAUCUUGGACAAAGGGCGAAAGCCUGACCCAGCCACACCGCGUGAGUGAAGAAGGCCUUCGGGUUGUAAAGCCCUUUUAUUGGGAAAGAAAAGCAGUAGAUGUAUCCCCCGCUGUUCUGACGGUACCCAAAGAAUAAGCACCGGCUAACUACGUG
This 492-nucleotide ribosomal RNA is filed under the name uncultured bacterium. Its description in RNAcentral is "partial 16S ribosomal RNA". It matches the Rfam family "Bacterial small subunit ribosomal RNA", at positions 29 to 507 of the family's 1533-position model. The record is from RNAcentral.